AUGAGCAAUGAUUGGGAGGAUAUGUUUCCUCUUGUUAAUAUGAAAAAGCUCGUUAGGGAGGUCUCUGACCACAAUGCUCUCCUAUUAUACUAUGAUAAUCAUGUUAUUAGAGCUCCACAAAAAAGUGAGUUUAGAUUUGAGCUGAGCUGGUUAAAAUCUGACGAUUUUGUUCCUCUAGUUAGCAAGAUUUGGAAUCAAAAUGUGAAUGCUACCGAUCCUAUUGAUAUUCUAAAUAUCAAACUAAAAAGAUUUAAGAAGUUUUUUAAAGGCUGGGGAUCAAAUAAAUUUGGUCAUGAGAAGAAAAGAAAGCAGGAGAUUAGAGAAGAGCUUGCUUUUAUUGAAAAGUUAGAAGAGGAAGGAAAUAUAGGCAAUGAAUUGUUUUGUAGAAAAACUGAUCUCCUUGUGGAGAUGAAUGAAAUACUUGUCAAUGAGGAACUUUUUCUGCUGCAACAAUCUAAUGAGAGAUGGUUGCUUGGGGGGAUCGAAACACCGCUUAUUACCAAAAAAUAG
This 510-nucleotide ribosomal RNA is filed under the name Triticum aestivum (bread wheat). Its description in RNAcentral is "partial small subunit ribosomal RNA". The record is from RNAcentral. Lineage: Eukaryota; Viridiplantae; Streptophyta; Magnoliopsida; Poales; Poaceae.